UAGUCCACGCCGUAAACGAUGGAUACUAGUUGUUGGGCAUUAGCUCAGUGACUAAGCGAAAGUGAUAAGUAUCCCACCUGGGGAGUACGUUCGCAAGAAUGAAACUCAAAGGAAUUGACGGGGGCCCGCACAAGCGGUGGAGCAUGUGGUUUAAUUCGAUGAUACGCGAGGAACCUUACCAGGGCUUAAAUGUAAGUUGCAUAGUUUAGAGAUAGACUUUUCUUCGGACUACUUACAAGGUGCUGCAUGGUUGUCGUCAGCUCGUGCCGUGAGGUGUCGGGUUAAGUCCUAUAACGAGCGCAACCCCUAUCGUUAGUUGCAAACAGGUUAAGCUGUGGACUCUAGCGAGACUGCCGGUGCAAACCGUGAGGAAGGUGGGGAUGGACGUCAAAUCAUCACGGGCCCUUACGUCCUGGGGCUACACACGUGCUACAUGGGUAGGUACAGAGGGGCAGGCCACUACGCGAGUAGGAGCGAAUCCUUAAAGCCUAUCUCAGUUCGGGAUCGGGA
Molecule: ribosomal RNA, 510 nt
Filed under: uncultured bacterium
Lineage: Bacteria
Description: bacterial SSU rRNA
Rfam family: Bacterial small subunit ribosomal RNA
Source: RNAcentral